RNAcentral lists this ribosomal RNA (842 nucleotides) under uncultured Campylobacterota bacterium. RNAcentral describes it as "bacterial SSU rRNA". It matches the Rfam family "Bacterial small subunit ribosomal RNA", at positions 562 to 1423 of the family's 1533-position model. Lineage: Bacteria; Pseudomonadati; Campylobacterota. The record is from RNAcentral.
AAAGGGUUCGUAGGUGGACCUAUAAGUNGGUAUGAAAGACCGGAGCUCAACUCCGUGUUUGUGCUUGAAACUGUAGGUCUAGAAUCAGGGAGAGGUUAGCGGAAUUCUUAGUGUAGGGGUGCAAUCCGUAGAUACUAAGAAGAACACCAAAAGCGAAGGCAGCUAACUGGAACUGUAUUGACACUGAGGAACGAAAGCGUGGGGAGCGAAGAGGAUUAGAUACCCUCGUAGUCCACGCCCUAAACGAUGAUAACUAAGUGUUGGGAAUUGUCCCAGUGCUGUAGCUAACGCGUUAAGUUAUCCACCUGAGGAGUACGGUCGCAAGAUUAAAACUCAAAGGAAUAGACGGGGACCCACACAAGCAGUGGAUCACGUGGUUUAAUUCGACAAUAAACGGGGAAUCUCACCCAGACUAGACAUCCUAAGAAUCUCUGAGAAAUCAGAGAGUGCCUUUACGGGAGCUUAGUGACAGGUGCUGCAUGGUUGUCGUCAGCUCGUGCCUUGAGGUGUUCGGUUAAGUCCGUUAACGAGCGCAACCCAUGUCUUUAGUUAUUAUGUCUAAAGAGACUGCCUUGGUUAACAAGGAGGAAGGUGUGGAUGACGUCAAAUCAGCAUGGCUUUUACGUCUGGGGCUACACACAUGAUACAAUGGUAUGUACAAAGAGCAGCGAUACCGCGAGGUGGAGCCAAUCUUCAAAGCAUAUCUCAGUCCGGAUUGGAGUCUGAAACUCGACUCCAUGAAGUUGGAAUUGCUAGUAAUCGUGAAUCAGAUAUGUCACGGUGAAUGUGUUCCUGGGUCUUGUACUCACCGCCCGUCACGGCAUGGGAGUUAGUAAUAUCGG